GGUCAAGAGAUCGAGACCAUCCUGGUCAACAGGGUGAAACCCGUCUCUACUAAAAAUACAAAAAAUUAGCUGGGCAUGGUGGUGCGUGCCUGUAAUCCCAGCUACUCAGGAGGCUGAGGCAGGAGAGUUGCCUGAACCCAGGAGGUGGAGGUUGUAGUGAGCCGAGAUCAUGCCAUUGCACUCCAGCCUGGGUAACGAGUGAAACUCCGUCUCAAAAAAAAAAAAGGAGUAUGGCUGCGGCACUUCGUCCUUCCAGUGGAGUUCUCCUGCAGGCCCUGCAGAUUUCGGUGUAUCCUGGAGUGGGAGGCUCCGGCUCUGCAGAUACCUACUUACAGAUAACAUUGUGAAACUAAAAGAAUUUCAGCAUAAGAAAGUGGCCAUUGCAUGUAAUCUUCCUGGCACUAAAGAAACCUAUUUUAGAAACUUGGAAGAGAAACUGAGCCAGAACAAGCUCAUCUUGAAGGAGGAGUUGAUAACCUUACUUCAUUUGUGUGAGUCCCGGGACCAUGUGGAGCUGGCUAAAAAUGUCAUUUACAGGUACCAUGCAGAGAACAGAAAUAUCACUCGGGGGGAGUAUAAGUUCGGACCACUUUUCAUGAGGCUGUGUUACGAGUUGGAUCUUGAGGAAUCUGCAGUGGAGCUCAUGAAAGACCAGGUGCUUUGGAAGUCUUGAUAGAGAUGAAAAACCAAGAUGUGAAGUUCACUGUAGAUACCUAUGUUCUUGCUUUUGCAAUUUGCUAUAAACUGAAUAGCCCUGAGUCUUUUAAAAUCUGUACUACAUUAAGAGAAGAAGCCCUACUCAAAGGAGAAAUUCUCUCCAGGAGAGCAUCCUGUUUCGCUGUGGCAUUAGCUCUGAAUCAGAAUGAGGUAGCACAAGCUAUGUCCAUUUUUUCUCAAAUCAUGAAUUCAGAAAGCAUAACCUGCACUAAUUUAAAUAUUAUACUCCAUAUCCAGUUAAAUAUGUUGGAAAACGUGAUAGAGAUACUAAAAAAUGCUACAGAAGGAAAUUUAUCAAAAUAUGUGAAGAGACAGGUGUUCUCAGAGGAAGUGCUGGCCAAAGUGAGGGAAAAAGUGAAGGAUGUGCCUGCCCUUGUGGCCAAAUUUGAUGAGCUCUAUGGGAAACUGCACGUCAGUGGCCAAGUCACCACUUAUUCUUUGGAUGCUGUGCUCUGCCACAUCCCUGGGGGCAGGAAAUCCCACAUGUUUCUAUUAAACAAGAGAAUGGUCAGCCGUCACACCUUCCAGCCACUCGGCCAGUCCCUGUUUGCUAAGUAAUCCUGGUUUCAGUCCAUCUAUGGAUCUGAAGGGCCUGCUUCUAGUGUUAUUGCCUUUCCUAAGAAGCCAGGCAUUGCACUUCAGCAGACACUGUGCUGACACUUGGUCUUCUGAAAUUCCCAAGUUCACUGAAUGGCGGCAUGCCAAUCUCUGAGAAGUUAUGUUGCACCACUGUGAAGGUCUAGAUGCAAGCUUGUCUCCCUCAGAAAGGUGCUUCCCUUGUGCACUGCUGAGGAUUCUUGAAGGAACAUGGACAGUCUCUAAUCCAGCUUCCGGCACCAGAGUGAAACCCAGUAAGCACCAUCAGGAAUGAAUUUCACUAUAAGUGUGGUCAACUCUGAUUUUCAAGGGAGUAGUUACUUGCAAAUUACAUCCUUGCUGGAUUCAGGAGGUCUGAAACCCUAUUCUACCAUGUUAGAAAACAGCCCAGGAUUUUCUCAUUGCUCUGCCAUCAUAUAUGUCUAUGACUUGAGCCCUCAUUUUUCCAUCUGCAAAACAAUAAUGCCUAUGUGUAUUUGCAUACAGAUUUGAAAUCUUCAUUCAAGUUUCAGUAGGAUCAGAUUUUCUCAAAAAUAAAUAAGGUUCAGAAGCAGA
Molecule: RNA transcript, 1869 nt
Organism: Callithrix jacchus (white-tufted-ear marmoset)
Lineage: Eukaryota; Metazoa; Chordata; Mammalia; Primates; Cebidae
Gene name: pentatricopeptide repeat-containing protein 2, mitochondrial pseudogene
Source: RefSeq, a predicted model, not a curated record